Long non-coding RNA from Lolium perenne, 3859 nucleotides. RefSeq lists it as uncharacterized. Lineage: Eukaryota; Viridiplantae; Streptophyta; Magnoliopsida; Poales; Poaceae. The record is from RefSeq and is a predicted model, not a curated record.
UCACGAAAAUCCUCCUCCUUGGCAGCAGCCAAGGAGGGGGAAACACUCAUCUAUACCAGCACCAACUCAAGGAAGAAGAAGGCUAAGUGGCGGCGCUCCCCCAUGAUGCCGGCGGCGGGGAAGGAGUCCCCCGCGCCGCCGCCGGCGCCGCCCACGCCUCCGCCUCCCGGCUCUCCUCGCUGAGCCCUCCAACGUAUUCACCGCCAUCUCCAUCACCAACUCCUCAUUGUAUUCAGUGGUCCAUCCUCUCACAAACCUCUAUACAGCCCCUAUGUAAACAUGGUGUUUGAUGCUACAAGUUAUAAUCCUAUGAUCUAUGUCAUGUUACCAUAGUUUAUUUGUUCUUUGAUUGAUUGGUUGUUUCUCUUUGGUUCAUUAGAGUUGUAUGUUGAUAUGUUACCGUCCUUGGUGCCCAUUAUAUUUGUGCGCGCAUGGAUCAAGCACCAUAGGGUUGGUGGUACUUGUAUACUAGAAGGGGGAAGUUCUGCCGGAGUUGCAUGUAUGGGAGUAAGAGGACCAUUUACUUAAGGCUAUGGUUGGGGAAACCUUAAUGCUUGCUAGUAUUUACGGAUGUUUGCUAGCAAGCCAAUCAUAUAGUACUUGUAAUCCCGGAGGGAGAGCAUGUAUAUUUAGCCUCUCCUACAUAGAAAGCUGCAUCGAAGACAUUGAACCCAAGAUCUUCACUAAUUGAUCUUGGACAAAGCCACCACUAUUACCAUCGCCUUUCCACACUCAUGGUACUGUUAGUUUAGUUUCUUUUAUUGCAGCAGCACUAACAUUUAUUCCAUGUAUUUUAUUGUUCUGCAAAGUCACCUCUCAUACCCGUUAUCGCUCUAGUAUUAUUUUCUAGAUAUUGCAAACGCUUAGUGUGCGUAGAGUUGUAUCAGUGGUUGAUAGAACUUGAGAGAAUGUUUAUCCUACCUUUAUCUCCUCGUUGGGUUCGACACUCUUACUUAUCGAAAAGGCUACACGCGAUCCCCUAUGUUUGUGGGUUAUCAAGACCUUUUUUGGCGGCGUUGCCGGGGAGCCAUAGCGUAGGUGAAUAUUUUCGUGUGCACUUGUUUGCUUUAUCUCUAAGUAGUUUUACUUCCUGUACCUAGUUGUUCUCUAUCUCUUGUAUGGAUAGGGAAUGCGAUUUACAAAAAAAAUAAGUUAUACUUCUUAUAUAAAAAAAUAAAAAAAUGUUUUCAGAAAAGAAAAGUGAUUGGAAAGAUGAGUAAUGGUGAAGUGGGGGUCGACCUUGAACACUUGUGUUCAUGCCUGCGAAACAAAAACAAUUCUUUCCAUGGAAGCUUUUUAUUAAAAACUUGUAAAUAGUGUAUAUAGUGUAUAUAGUGUACAUAUCCCGCUGUAAAUAGAAUGUAUAGAUAACAUCUAGUUUGUUAUGCAAGAUUGUCACUAUGCUGCCUAGAAAACAGAUUUCCUGUGUUCCACUGUAGAAAAUUUUAAAAAUCACCAAAACUUCAUCUUGAUCUGAAAUUUCUUGAGUGCAUAGUAGUUCUUGCUAUCUAACUUUAGUUAGUUCUGACUUUUUUGAUUUGAGGUACGUAGACAGAUCUAAUAAUUCAAUCUUUACGGACUGAUUCUGUUGAGACAGAUUUCCUGUGCUGUGCUGCAAAAAUUCGUGAAAAAUCUCAGUAUGGCAUUUUGAUCUGAUUUUUUUUGUGUGCAUAGACCUGAGGUUAUGAUCUGUCUUUCAUUAAUCAUGAGUUUUUCGAUUUGAGUUAUGUAACUAUCUCAUUUAGUGACAUCUUUACAGAGUGUUCAGUUUUGACAGAUUUCGAUUCUCUUUGUUUAAAUAUUGUACUUAGGAUUCAAAAGUUUCCUUCGUUUUCGACGUUCGAUUGAAUAAUAAGAAACCUCAGUAUUACAGUGGCUAAAUAUUUGAUAGAUUUUAUAGAAAUUAGGGAUACUUGAACACUUGUGGAUUUUAUUUAAUGAGUACUAACCUACUAAUGAGUUUUGUGAAGCUUUAUGUGGAUGCAGUUUUUAAGUUCCAAUCAAUAUGGUGAUAUGAGAUGAGCAAGAGAAUGCAAGAGCUCAAGCUUGGGGAUGUGUAGAUGGAUCCCAAGAGAAUAUUCAAGAAGAUGUAAAUAUCUAAGCUUGGGGAUGCCCAAGGCAUCCCCCUAUUCAUCAACCAACAUGAGGUUGUCUCCUUCAAACUCAAUAUUACCCAUCCACAUGUAAGCAUUGUAUAUAGUUGCUUUUAUUAUCUUUGGUUUUAUCCUAUUUAGUUUUAUUAGGUUCUUUAUUUGGUUCUUGUUUCUUUAUCAGUUUCACUUAUAAUGGGAAAACAACAAAAAAAGGGGGUUUGAGAGCUCCAUCAAAUAAUCAUGCCCAUCUUAAAUGGCUAUAAAGAAAGAGUUUUAUGGGAGACAACCCAAUAUGUUUAUAUUUCUGUUAUUUACUGCUUUGUUGAGUCUUGGAAGUCAUUACUACUGUAAUGACCUCUCCUUAUCAUGUUUGUUUUGUUUUUGUGCCAAGAAUUGCCUCUAAUGGUAAGAAAGUGGUAUUUGGGGGAUUUGCAAUCUUGUUUACUGUUUCUGAUUUGUCACGAGAAAAAUCUCCAAAAAUCACCAGAACGUAAGUUUGAGCUGCCAAUUUACGAGCAUCUUCCCCAGGUAUUUAUCUAACUUUCAUUAGUUCAGAGUUUUUCAAGUUACAGAGCGUAACUAUUUUUAAAAAAUCAAUUUUUACGAACUGUUCUGUUUUGACAGAUUCUUGCACUGUUUUGCAUUUGCAUAUUUUUGCCCACCUUUUUGAGUUCUCUUGAUCAAAGAACCUUAUUGAAGUUGUGAUACAGUAGCUAAUGCUUAUUAAAAUGCUUUUCAUAUGUCAUACUGAACUUUGUAGAUUUGAUUAAUAUUAUCAUUGCACUAACGCUGCUAAUGAGAUUUGUGAUGAGUUUUGUAUGAAGGAAGUUUUCAAGUGUAGGAAAGAAGAAUGAUGAGAUGAGAUGAAGAAUGGACAAAAUAUCAAGCUUGGGGAUGCCCAUGUAAACCCAAGAUAUAUUCAAGAAGUACAAGCGUCAAAGCUUGGGGAUGCCCAAGGCAUCCCCUUCUUCAUCAAUAAAAAUAUCAGAAAAUAGGCAAAUAUGGAAGGAAAUAGCUCAUUAUGGUGAAAUCUGGAAUUUCCCGGAAUCUAUCCCUACUGAACACUUUUCAAAGAUCGCUUCGAAACUCCAUCAAAACGACGUUCAAUGGAAAAGUCGUAAACUACAAAGUUGUAGAGAAUUUCAAACCGAACAAUUUGGACAUCUUAUUCGUCCAGAAAGGACAACGGAUGCAUCCGGGAAAGCGGAAUUACUGCGGAGGUUCGUGUAGUCUCGGGACUCCGAAAGUUGGUGACGUAUUUGACACAAACUCUUUCCAUACCUGGAUAUUUCAGCCCAGCCAAGAGUUGUGAGGCUCAUGAAGGACAGAGGCGAGUCCUAGGAAGGUUCUAGAGGUGCCCAAGAGCCUUGGAUCAAAGGGGCAUCCAUCCCAUGGCCUAGAUUGCAUCUUCAACACUAUAUAUUGAUGGGAAACCCUAUUUUGUGAGUCCCCCAAGCAUUGUCACGAAAAUCCUCCAGCCAAGGAGGGGGAAACACUCAUCUAUACCAGCACCAACUCAAGGAAGAAGAAGGCUAAGGGGCGGCGCUCCCCCAUGAUGCCGGCGGCGGGGAAGGAGUCCCCCGCGCCGCCGCCGGCGCCGCCCACGCCACCGCCUCCCGGCGCUCCUCGCUGAGCCCUCCAAUGUCUUCACCGCCAUCUCCAUCACCAACUCCUCAUUGUAUUCAUUGGUCCAUCCUCUCACAAAUCUCUGUACCGCCCUAUGUAAACAUGGUGUUUGAUGCUACAAGUUAUAAUCCUAUGAUCUA